This 540-nucleotide ribosomal RNA is filed under the name uncultured archaeon. RNAcentral's name for it is "bacterial SSU rRNA". It matches the Rfam family "Bacterial small subunit ribosomal RNA", at positions 509 to 1050 of the family's 1533-position model. The record is from RNAcentral.
CAGCCGCCGCGGUAAUACGUAGGGGGCGAGCGUUGUCCGGAUUUACUGGGCGUAAAGGGUGAGUAGGCGGUUAUAUAAGUCAGAUGUAAAAGGCUAUGGCUUAACCAUAGUUAGCAUUUGAAACUGUAUGACUUGAGUGCAGGAGAGGUAAGCGGAAUUCCUAGUGUAGCGGUGAAAUGCGUAGAUAUUAGGAGGAACACCAGUGGCGAAGGCGGCUUACUGGACUGUAACUGACGCUGAGUCACGAAAGCGUGGGUAGCAAACAGGAUUAGAUACCCUGGUAGUCCACGCCGUAAACGAUGAGUGCUAGGUGUUGGGUAGUAAUACUCAGUGCCGAAGUAAACACAAUAAGCACUCCGCCUGGGGAGUACGUACGCAAGUAUGAAACUCAAAGGAAUUGACGGGGACCCGCACAAGCAGCGGAGCAUGUGGUUUAAUUCGAAGCAACGCGAAGAACCUUACCAAGGCUUGACAUCCCCUUGACCGGCACAGAGAUGUGCCCUCUCCUUCGGGAGCAAGGGUGAGAGGUGGUGCAUGGCC